UACGUAGGGUGCGAGCGUUGUCCGGAAUUAUUGGGCGUAAAGGGCUCGUAGGCGGUUUGUCGCGUCGGGAGUGAAAACCUUGGGCUUAACUCAGGGCUUGCUUUCGAUACGGGCAGGCUAGAGUUCGGUAGGGGAGACUGGAAUUCCUGGUGUAGCGGUGAAAUGCGCAGAUAUCAGGAGGAACACCGGUGGCGAAGGCGGGUCUCUGGGCCUGUACUGACGCUCAUGCACGAAAGCGUGGGGAGCAAACAGG
RNAcentral lists this ribosomal RNA (253 nucleotides) under uncultured bacterium. RNAcentral's name for it is "partial 16S ribosomal RNA". It matches the Rfam family "Bacterial small subunit ribosomal RNA", at positions 524 to 776 of the family's 1533-position model. The record is from RNAcentral.